UUGAACGCUGGCGGCAUGCCUUACACAUGCAAGUCGAACGGUAACGCGGGGCAACCUGGCGACGAGUGGCGAACGGGUGAGUAAUACAUCGGAACGUGCCCAGUAGUGGGGGAUAGCCCGGCGAAAGCCGGAUUAAUACCGCAUACGACCUAUGGGUGAAAGCGGGGGAUCGCAAGACCUCGCGCUAUUGGAGCGGCCGAUGUCAGAUUAGCUAGUUGGUGGGGUAAAAGCCUACCAAGGCGACGAUCUGUAGCUGGUCUGAGAGGACGACCAGCCACACUGGGACUGAGACACGGCCCAGACUCCUACGGGAGGCAGCAGUGGGGAAUUUUGGACAAUGGGGGAAACCCUGAUCCAGCCAUGCCGCGUGCGGGAAGAAGGCCUUCGGGUUGUAAACCGCUUUUGUCGGGGAAGAAACGGUCUGCGCUAAUACCGCGGGCUAAUGACGGUACCCGAAGAAUAAGCACCGGCUAACUACGU
This 480-nucleotide ribosomal RNA is filed under the name uncultured bacterium. RNAcentral's name for it is "bacterial SSU rRNA". It matches the Rfam family "Bacterial small subunit ribosomal RNA", at positions 29 to 506 of the family's 1533-position model. The record is from RNAcentral.